CGGAACGUGUCCUGUAGUGGGGGAUAGCCCGGCGAAAGCCGGAUUAAUACCGCAUACGCUCUACGGAGGAAAGGGGGGGAUCUUAGGACCUCCCGCUACAGGGGCGGCCGAUGGCAGAUUAGCUAGUUGGUGGGGUAAAGGCCUACCAAGGCGACGAUCUGUAGCUGGUCUGAGAGGACGACCAGCCACACUGGGACUGAGACACGGCCCAGACUCCUACGGGAGGCAGCAGUGGGGAAUUUUGGACAAUGGGGGCAACCCUGAUCCAGCAAUGCCGCGUGUGUGAAGAAGGCCUUCGGGUUGUAAAGCACUUUUGUCCGGAAAGAAAACGCCGUGGUUAAUACCCGUGGCGGAUGACGGUACCGGAAGAAUAAGCACCGGCUAACUACGUGCCAGCAGCCGCGGUAAUACGUAGGGUGCAAGCGUUAAUCGGAAUUACUGGGCGUAAAGCGUGCGCAGGCGGUCCGCUAAGACAGAUGUGAAAUCCCCGGGCUUAACCU
Molecule: ribosomal RNA, 500 nt
Filed under: Burkholderia sp. Z4_44_3
Lineage: Bacteria; Pseudomonadati; Pseudomonadota; Betaproteobacteria; Burkholderiales; Burkholderiaceae
Description: bacterial SSU rRNA
Rfam family: Bacterial small subunit ribosomal RNA
Source: RNAcentral